Molecule: transfer RNA, 20 nt
Filed under: Pongo pygmaeus (Bornean orangutan)
Lineage: Eukaryota; Metazoa; Chordata; Mammalia; Primates; Hominidae
Description: partial tRNA-Gly
Source: RNAcentral
ACAGCACUCAAAAAAGAGUA